RNAcentral lists this ribosomal RNA (279 nucleotides) under uncultured bacterium. RNAcentral's name for it is "partial 16S ribosomal RNA". It matches the Rfam family "Bacterial small subunit ribosomal RNA", at positions 506 to 784 of the family's 1533-position model. The record is from RNAcentral.
UGCCAGCCGCCGCGGUAAUACGGAGGGGGUUAGCGUUGUUCGGAUUUAUUGGGUGUAAAGGGCAAGUAGAUGGUUAAGUAAGUCUGUCGUGAAAUCCCAGGGCUCAACCCUGGAACUGCGCUGGAAACUGCAUAACUAGAGCAUUGAAGGGGUAAGAAGAAUUCUUGGUGUAAGGGUGAAAUCUGUAGAUAUCAAGAGGAACACCGAUGGCGAAGGCAUCUUACUGGUCAAUUGCUGACAUUGAAUUGCGAAAGCUGGGGGAGCAAACAGGAUUAGAUA